Molecule: ribosomal RNA, 970 nt
Filed under: Bacillus halotolerans
Lineage: Bacteria; Bacillati; Bacillota; Bacilli; Caryophanales; Bacillaceae
Description: bacterial SSU rRNA
Rfam family: Bacterial small subunit ribosomal RNA
Source: RNAcentral
GGACGGGUGAGUAACACGUGGGUAACCUGCCUGUAAGACUGGGAUAACUCCGGGAAACCGGGGCUAAUACCGGAUGCUUGUUUGAACCGCAUGGUUCAAACAUAAAAGGUGGCUUCGGCUACCACUUACAGAUGGACCCGCGGCGCAUUAGCUAGUUGGUGAGGUAAUGGCUCACCAAGGCAACGAUGCGUAGCCGACCUGAGAGGGUGAUCGGCCACACUGGGACUGAGACACGGCCCAGACUCCUACGGGAGGCAGCAGUAGGGAAUCUUCCGCAAUGGACGAAAGUCUGACGGAGCAACGCCGCGUGAGUGAUGAAGGUUUUCGGAUCGUAAAGCUCUGUUGUUAGGGAAGAACAAGUACCGUUCGAAUAGGGCGGUACCUUGACGGUACCUAACCAGAAAGCCACGGCUAACUACGUGCCAGCAGCCGCGGUAAUACGUAGGUGGCAAGCGUUGUCCGGAAUUAUUGGGCGUAAAGGGCUCGCAGGCGGUUCCUUAAGUCUGAUGUGAAAGCCCCCGGCUCAACCGGGGAGGGUCAUUGGAAACUGGGGAACUUGAGUGCAGAAGAGGAGAGUGGAAUUCCACGUGUAGCGGUGAAAUGCGUAGAGAUGUGGAGGAACACCAGUGGCGAAGGCGACUCUCUGGUCUGUAACUGACGCUGAGGAGCGAAAGCGUGGGGAGCGAACAGGAUUAGAUACCCUGGUAGUCCACGCCGUAAACGAUGAGUGCUAAGUGUUAGGGGGUUUCCGCCCCUUAGUGCUGCAGCUAACGCAUUAAGCACUCCGCCUGGCGAGUACGGUCGCAGGACUGAAACUCAAAGGAAUUGACGGGGGCCCGCACAACCGGUGGAGCAUGUGGUUUAAUUCAAAGCAACGCCAAGAACCUUACCAGGUCUUGGCAUCCUCUGACAAUCCUAGAGAUAGGACGUCCGCUUCGGGGGCAGAACGACAGUUGUUGCAGGUUGUCUU